UUAAAUGAAUUGACGGGACCCGCACAAGCGGUGGAUGAUGUGGUUAAUUCGAUGCAACGCGAAAACCUUACCCACCUUUGACAUGUACGGAAUCCUUUAGAGAUAGAGGAGUGCUCGAAAGAGAACCGUAACACAGGUGCUGCAUGGCUGUCGUCAGCUCGUGUCGUGAGAUGUUGGGUUAAGUCCCGCAACGAGCGCAACCCUUGUCAUUAGUUGCUACAUUCAGUUGGGCACUCUAAUGAGACUGCCGGUGACAAACCGGAGGAAGGUGGGGAUGACGUCAAGUCCUCAUGGCCUUAUAGGUGGGGCUACACACGUCAUACAAUGGAUGGUACAAAGGGUCGCCAACCCGCGAGGGGGAGCCAAUCCCAUAAAGCCAUUCGUAGUCCGGAUCGCAGUCUGCAACUCGACUGCGUGAAGUCGGAAUCGCUAGUAAUCGUGGAUCAGAAUGUCACGGUGAAUACGUUCCCGGGUCUU
This 477-nucleotide ribosomal RNA is filed under the name uncultured Acidovorax sp. Its description in RNAcentral is "bacterial SSU rRNA". It matches the Rfam family "Bacterial small subunit ribosomal RNA", at positions 901 to 1382 of the family's 1533-position model. Lineage: Bacteria; Pseudomonadati; Pseudomonadota; Betaproteobacteria; Burkholderiales; Comamonadaceae. The record is from RNAcentral.